GACGAACGCUGGCGGCGUGCUUAACACAUGCAAGUCGAACGGAAAGGCCCUGCUUUUGUGGGGUGCUCGAGUGGCGAACGGGUGAGUAACACGUGAGUAACCUGCCCUUGACUUUGGGAUAACUUCAGGAAACUGGGGCUAAUACCGGAUAGGAGCUCCUGCUGCAUGGUGGGGGUUGGAAAGUUUCGGCGGUUGGGGAUGGACUCGCGGCUUAUCAGCUUGUUGGUGGGGUAGUGGCUUACCAAGGCUUUGACGGGUAGCCGGCCUGAGAGGGUGACCGGCCACAUUGGGACUGCGAUACGGCCCAGACUCGUACGGGAGGCAGCAGUGGGGAAUAUUGCACAAUGGGCGGAAGCCUGAUGCGGCAACGCCGCGUGCGGGAUGACGGCCUUCGGGUUGUAAACCGCUUUCGCCUGUGACGAAGCGUGAGUGACGGUAAUGGGUAAAGAAGCACCGGCUAACUACGUG
This 468-nucleotide ribosomal RNA is filed under the name uncultured bacterium. RNAcentral describes it as "partial 16S ribosomal RNA". It matches the Rfam family "Bacterial small subunit ribosomal RNA", at positions 28 to 507 of the family's 1533-position model. The record is from RNAcentral.